This 262-nucleotide long non-coding RNA is filed under the name Gossypium barbadense (sea-island cotton). Its description in RNAcentral is "long non-coding RNA (GBAR_LNC020688)". The record is from RNAcentral. Lineage: Eukaryota; Viridiplantae; Streptophyta; Magnoliopsida; Malvales; Malvaceae.
AACUCUACCCCCCUAAAAGAAAUUUUGACCUCGAAAUUUACCUGAUCUGAACAGAUGACGAUACUGCUGACGCAUCGAGUCCUCAGGUUCCCACGCGGCUUCCUCAGUGCCAUGAUUCUGCCACAGAACCUUCACCAACGGUAUAGACUUCCUUCUUAGAACCUUAAUAUCAUGAUCUAAAAUCUGAACUGGCUCCUCCUCAAAAGUCAAAUCUGGUCUAACCUCGACCUCCUCAACAAAGACAACGUGAGAUGGAUCAGAC